CCGCCCCUUUCCGGAAUGUUCUGUAUGUCCCCCCCCCAUUCUGUGAACAUGCUCACCCACCCUAUAGUUCCCCAAGUGCUCAGCAAUUCGAGUGACCUUUCGAUUCUUCAGUCUUCAAAUUGCAGUAGAUGCGACUUGUGAGCUGUAACGCUCAACUGUGGCUCAGAGCUGUGGCACUUGCUGUAGCGCCGAGGUGUUUCGCUUUGCCACAACAGAACUACGAACACAUCUGGCUCAAAUUGGACUAUUUUAAAUUCCACAUGUGACUAAAUUUGAACAACUAAUAAAGGGCG
This 293-nucleotide long non-coding RNA is filed under the name Fukomys damarensis (Damara mole-rat). RNAcentral's name for it is "lncRNA (ENSFDAG00000028021.1)". The record is from RNAcentral. Lineage: Eukaryota; Metazoa; Chordata; Mammalia; Rodentia; Bathyergidae.